UACGAAGGGGGCUAGCGUUGCUCGGAAUCACUGGGCGUAAAGGGUGCGUAGGCGGUCCUUUAAGUCAGGGGUGAAAUCCUGGAGCUCAACUCCAGAACUGCCUUCGAUACUGAGGAUCUUGAGGUCGGGAGAGGUGAGUGGAACUGCGAGUGUAGAGGUGAAAUUCGUAGAUAUUCGCAAGAACACCAGUGGCGAAGGCGGCUCACUGGCCCGAUACUGACGCUGAGGAGCGAAAGUGUGGGGAGCAAACAGG
RNAcentral lists this ribosomal RNA (253 nucleotides) under uncultured bacterium. RNAcentral describes it as "partial 16S ribosomal RNA". It matches the Rfam family "Bacterial small subunit ribosomal RNA", at positions 524 to 776 of the family's 1533-position model. The record is from RNAcentral.